AUGGCUCAGUGAGGCCUUGGGACUGGCUCAGAGAGGUCGGCAACGACCACUCAGAGCCGGAAACUUGGUCAAACUUGGUCAUUUAGAGGAAGUAAAAGUCGUAACAAGGUUUCCGUAGGUGAACCUGCGGAAGGAUCAUUAACGAGUUAGGGUCUUCCAGGCCCGACCUCCCAACCCUAUGUUUACUGAACCUUCGUUGCUUCGGCGGACCCGCCUCUCGGCCGCCGGAGGACCGCCCCACGGCGUCCUCUAGCCCGCGUCCGUCGACGGCCAACCUCAAAAACGCUGAAAUAACCGUGUCGUCUGUCUCAGUCUCAUGAUUAAAUUAAAGCAAAACUUUCAACAACGGAUCUCUUGGUUCUGGCAUCGAUGAAGAACGCAGCGAAAUGCGAUAAGUAAUGCGAAUUGCAGAAUUCCAGUGAGUCAUCGAAUCUUUGAACGCACAUUGCGCCCUUUGGCAUUCCGAAGGGCAUGCCUGUUCGAGCGUCAUUAUCACCCCUCGGGCCCCGUGCUCGACGUUGGAAGGCCGGUCGGGCAACCGACCCCUCCUAAAGACAAUGACGGCGGCCUGUGGCGCCCCCGGUACACUGAGCUUUUCACGGAGCACGUACCGGACGAGGGCGCCCGGGACCCGGUCCUCUCCUUUCACUAGGAAGCUUCUCAAGGUUGACCUCGGAUCAGGUAGGAAUACGCGCUGAACUUAAGCAUAUCAAUAAGCGCAGGAAAAGAAACCAACAGGGAUUACCUCAGUAACGGCGAGUGAAGCGGUAAUAGCUCAAAUUUGAAAUCUGGCCUCUCGGGGUCCGAGUUGUAAUUUGUAGAGGAUGUUUUGGGUACCGCCUCGGUCUAAAUUUCUUGGAACAGAAUGUCACAGAGGGUGAGAAUCCCGUCUUGGACCGGCGGUAGGGCCUGUGUAAAACUCCUUCGACGAGUCGAGUUGUUUGGGAAUGCAGCUCAAAAUGGGUGGUAAAUUUCAUCUAAAGCUAAAUAUUGGCCAGAGACCGAUAGCGCACAAGUAGAGUGAUCGAAAGAUGAAAAGCACUUUGAAAAGAGAGUUAAACAGUAUGUGAAAUUGUUGAAAGGGAAGCGCUUGCAACCAGACUUGAGCGCGGCGGUUCCCCCGGCCUUUUGGCCGGGCUACUCCGCCGUGUCCAGGCCAACAUCGGUUCUGAGGGUCGGUUAAAGGCCCCGGGAAUGUAUCUACCCACGGGUAGACUUAUAGACCGGGGUGUCAUGCGGCCUCUCGGGACCGAGGAACGCGCUUCGGCUCGGAUGUUGGCGUAAUGGUUGUCAGCGACCCGUCUUGAAACACGGACCAAGGAGUCUAACAUCUAUGCGAGUGUUUGGGUGUCAAACCCGGAACGCGGAAUGAAAGUGAACGGAGGUAGGAAGCUUCGGCUGCACUAUCGACCGAUCCUGAAGUUUACGGAAGGAUUUGAGUAAGAGCAUAGCUGUUGGGACCCGAAAGAUGGUGAACUAUGCCUGAAUAGGGUGAAGCCAGAGGAAACUCUGGUGGAGGCUCGCAGCGGUUCUGACGUGCAAAUCGAUCGUCAAAUUUGGGUAUAGGGGCGAAAGACUAAUCGAACCAU
RNAcentral lists this ribosomal RNA (1589 nucleotides) under Chaetothyriales sp. MP-2014. RNAcentral describes it as "eukaryotic LSU rRNA". The stretch from base 668 to 1589 matches the Rfam family "Eukaryotic large subunit ribosomal RNA", at positions 1 to 943 of the family's 3401-position model. Lineage: Eukaryota; Fungi; Ascomycota; Eurotiomycetes; Chaetothyriales. The record is from RNAcentral.